Long non-coding RNA from Monodelphis domestica (gray short-tailed opossum), 1738 nucleotides. RefSeq lists it as uncharacterized. NCBI's taxonomy places the organism in Eukaryota, Metazoa, Chordata, Mammalia, Didelphimorphia, Didelphidae. The record is from RefSeq and is a predicted model, not a curated record.
ACUAAUUCAUCUAUUCAAGAGACUUUCCAAACCUUGGCUUCCCCACUUCAAGGAAAAUCCCUCCUGCCUAUUUCUUAGCCAAGGGAAGUCAAAUAAUGCAAAGCAGUAAUAUCACUGGGCUACCACGAAAUCCUGCCUUCUAAGUCUUUGUUUUGAAUCUUCACUGAAGACACUGUCAUUAUACACCAGCAUGCCUCUAGCUAUAAGCAUGCCUUGUCAUGCUGGAUAUUUAUUUACUCAAGCAGUUUAAAGCACUGAGGGAAAAGGGUGGGAGCUAUAGGAACAAGGCCAGUUCCCAAUUCAGAACUGAAAAUGCUCUGGUGACAGAAACUACAAAGUUAGCAUCUAUUUAUCCACUGCCUUUAAAACGUUCUUGUUUUGUUUUUAAAGACAGGUGUGAGAAGAGAUAUGUCAAUCAAACAAGUUCAAGUAGCAAUACAGUCCUUCUCCACUCCAUCACCAUCACCUGUGUCUUCAUUUCUGGCAGCUUCUUGCUAACAGAUGAGCACUUAAGAAAUAAUCAUUGACAAGUCACUGGCUCCUGGGAUCACUGAGCUACCUUUGGUCAGUACUUCAAGUUUGGAGGAGCUGGGCUCAAAUUUGACCUUAGAUACUUCUUAGCUGCGUGACUACUUAUCAGUCACUUAACCCCACAUGCCCAGCCCUUGCUACUUUUCUGUCUUAGAACAGAUACUAAGAAAGAAGGUAAGAGUUGUGUUUUAUUAAGAGCCUACUCCAUGCCAGCAUUGGUGGGGAAUAGGAAGAAAAGCAAAGACAGUCUCUGCUCUCAAAGAGUUCGCAAUUGAAUGGGGAAACUGGCAUGCAAAUAACUAUGUACAAACAAGCCACAUACAGGCUGAAAUGGAGAUAAUAACAGAGGAAAAGCACUAAGAUUGAGGAGGACUGGGAAAGGCUUCAUUAAUCUUUGUGGAAUCCCACAAGAAGACUGAAAAUGACCCCGUGCUGAAUGUUGAAUGAGUCAAUAAUUCUCAAAAAGAGGAAAAGUUGGAGAAAGCCAAGGCCAAAAUACUCCCAAGUACAUGGUUUGUAAAUAGUUAAAAAGGUACAUGGUCAUCAUGAUAAGCCAACAAGACUUCACCUAAUAUAAGUCAUGCUAUUGAUUAAACUAAUUUCCUUUUUUUUUUUGGAUAGUUACUAGACUGGUAAUUCAGGAAACGAUGUAUACAGAAGACAUCUGGAUUUCAGAAGGGCAUUUGGCAAAGUUCUUUCUUCUAUGUCGUGUGGAAGAGAGAAAUUGGGAAAGCUUGCAACAAGACAGGAAUAGCUGGUACUGAUGACCUGUCAUUCAAAUGACAGCAUUCUGGUUUGGAAUGUUCCUGGGAGAGGCAAUUGGAAGAAGGGAGCAGACCAACUAAAGUCUGGACGUUUUGGCCUAGAAGACAGAAGAGGUCUGAUGUCUCUUGGCUUUUAGAGACUGAAGCCUGAAGGUUGUCUUUGGCUUUGAAGACAGAAGAAAGAAGGACAAAGAAAGUCCAGCUCUCUCUCUAAUUAGCACUGUUGUGAUAGUGACUGAACUUCCAGAUCUAUCAGCCAUUUCUCCCAAUUGAAUUAUCCUUCAAUCUAGGAAAACCCCCAAAACCCUCUUUCCCUCCAUUCCUUAUCCUUCCCUGUCUUCCCCCAAUAAAUCCCUUACUUAAGAUAGAAAAGAGAAAGAGUAUUUCAUUUGAGACAUCAUAAAUUCACCCUGAGUAGAUUUAAAAGACCAACAGAAGGAGGG